Molecule: ribosomal RNA, 305 nt
Filed under: uncultured bacterium
Lineage: Bacteria
Description: bacterial SSU rRNA
Rfam family: Bacterial small subunit ribosomal RNA
Source: RNAcentral
UGCCUACGGGGGGCAGCAGUGGGGAAUAUUGGGCAAUGGGCGCAAGCCUGACCCAGCAACGCCGCGUGAAGGAAGAAGGCCCUCGGGUUGUAAACUUCUUUUAUCAAGGACGAAACAAAUGACGGUACUUGAUGAAUAAGCCACGGCUAACUACGUGCCAGCAGCCGCGGUAAUACGGAGGAUGCGAGCGUUAUCCGGAUUUAUUGGGUUUAAAGGGUGCGUAGGCGGGCUUUUAAGUCAGCGGUAAAAAUUCGGGGCUCAACCCCGUCCGGCCGUUGAAACUGGGGGCCUUGAGUGGGCGAGAA